UGAAUGGGCUUUGUGGCCCUGCUUUGCUUGUUGGCUCCUCUCGAAUGCAUGAGCUUUCCAAUCCUUGGCAAAGUAUCGUCGAUGUGAUAAUUGUCUACGUCGCCCGAGAAAGCCGAAAGGGGAAAUCUUUGAUCACGCCAGGGUGACCUGCGUCUGACAAAUUCGACCUCAAAUCAGGUAGGACUACCCGCUGAACUUAA
Molecule: unclassified non-coding RNA, 200 nt
Filed under: soil metagenome
Description: partial contains internal transcribed spacer 2 and large subunit ribosomal RNA
Source: RNAcentral